GAGAGUAUAGCUCAGUGGUAGAGUGCGUGCUUAGCAUGCACAAGGUCCUGGGUUCAAUCCCCAGUACCUCCA
RNAcentral lists this transfer RNA (72 nucleotides) under Camelus bactrianus (Bactrian camel). It matches the Rfam family "tRNA". From Rfam's summary of the family: Transfer RNA (tRNA) molecules are approximately 80 nucleotides in length. Their secondary structure includes four short double-helical elements and three loops (D, anti-codon, and T loops). RNAcentral also lists the same sequence under 2 other names. The record is from Rfam by way of RNAcentral. Lineage: Eukaryota; Metazoa; Chordata; Mammalia; Artiodactyla; Camelidae.